AGAGUUUGAUUAUGGCUCAGGAUGAACGCUGGCGGCGUGCUUAACACAUGCAAGUCGAGCGGAGAUAAGAUAAAAGCUUGCUUUUAACUUAUCUUAGCGGCGGACGGGUGAGUAACGUGUGGGCAACCUGCCUCAUACAGAGGGAUAAUCAUGUGAAAACGUGACUAAUACCUCAUGUCAUUGCUAGAAGGCAUCUUCAGGCAAGAAAAGGAGUAAUCCGGUAUGAGAUGGGCCCGCAUCUGAUUAGCUAGUUGGUGAGAUAAUAGCCCACCAAGGCAACGAUCAGUAGCCGACCUGAGAGGGUGAUCGGCCACAUUGGGACUGAGACACGGCCCAA
RNAcentral lists this ribosomal RNA (337 nucleotides) under uncultured bacterium. Its description in RNAcentral is "bacterial SSU rRNA". It matches the Rfam family "Bacterial small subunit ribosomal RNA", at positions 8 to 334 of the family's 1533-position model. The record is from RNAcentral.